AGAGUUUGAUCAUGGCUCAGGAUGAACGCUAGCUACAGGCUUAACACAUGCAAGUCGAGGGGCAGCAUGAAGGAAGCUUGCUUCCUUUGAUGGCGACCGGCGCACGGGUGAGUAACGCGUAUCCAACCUGCCACAUACUCGGGGAUAGCCCGGUGAAAACCAAAUUAAGACCCGAUGGCAUCCUUUGAGGACAUCUGACGAGGAUUAAAGGCAACGGUAUGUGAUGGGGAUGCGUCCGAUUAGCUUGUUGGCGGGGUAACGGCCCACCAAGGCGACGAUCGGUAGGGGUUCUGAGAGGAAGGUCCCCCACAUUGGUACUGAGACACGGACCAAACUCCUACGGGAGGCAGCAGUGAGGAAUAUUGGUCAAUGGGCGGAAGCCUGAACCAGCCAAGUAGCGUGCAGGAUGACGGCCCUAUGGGUUGUAAACUGCUUUUGUCAGGGAACAAAGUGAGGCACGUGUGCCUUUUUGCGUGUACCUGUCGAAUAAGGACCGGCUAAUUCCGUGCCAGCAGCCGCGGUAAUACGGAAGGUCCGGGCGUUAUCCGGAUUUAUUGGGUUUAAAGGGAGCGUAGGCCGAAGGUUAAGCGUGUUGUGAAAUGUAGUCGCUCAACGUCUGCACUGCAGCGCGAACUGGCUUUCUUGAGUGCGCGGUAAGUUGGCGGAAUUCGUUGUGUAGCGGUGAAAUGCUUAGAUAUGACGAAGAACUCCGAUUGCGAAGGCAGCUGACUGUAGCGUAACUGACGCUGAUGCUCGAAAGCGUGGGUAUCGAACAGGAUUAGAUACCCUGGUAGUCCACGCGGUAAACGAUGGAUGCUCGCUGUGCGCCUUCUCUGGUGCGUGGCCAAGCGAAAGCGUUAAGCAUCCCACCUGGGGAGUACGCCGGCAACGGUGAAACUCAAAGGAAUUGACGGGGGCCCGCACAAGCGGAGGAACAUGUGGUUUAAUUCGAUGAUACGCGAGGAACCUUACCCGGGCUUGAACUGCACAGGAAUGAUUCAGAGAUGAUGAAGCCCUUCGGGGCCUGUGUGGAGGUGCUGCAUGGUUGUCGUCAGCUCGUGCCGUGAGGUGUCGGCUUAAGUGCCAUAACGAGCGCAACCCCUGCUUCCAGUUGCCAUCGGGUCAUGCCGGGCACUCUGGAGGGACUGCCGCCGUAAGGUGUGAGGAAGGCGGGGAUGACGUCAAAUCAGCACGGCCCUUACGUCCGGGGCUACACACGUGUUACAAUGGGGGGUACAGUGGGGUGCCACCGCGCGAGCGGGCGCCGAUCCUCAAACCCUCCCGUAGUUCGGAUUGGGGUCUGCAACCCGACCCCAUGAAGCUGGAUUCGCUAGUAAUCGCGCAUCAGCCAUGGCGCGGUGAAUACGUUCCCGGGCCUUGUACACACCGCCCGUCAAGCCAUGAAAGCCGGGAGUACCUGAAGUGCGUAACCGCGAGGAGCGCCCUAGGGCAAGACCGGUGAUUGGGGCUAAGUCGUAACAAGGUAGCC
Molecule: ribosomal RNA, 1489 nt
Filed under: uncultured rumen bacterium
Lineage: Bacteria
Description: bacterial SSU rRNA
Rfam family: Bacterial small subunit ribosomal RNA
Source: RNAcentral